Long non-coding RNA from Rosa rugosa (rugosa rose), 520 nucleotides. RefSeq lists it as uncharacterized. NCBI's taxonomy places the organism in Eukaryota, Viridiplantae, Streptophyta, Magnoliopsida, Rosales, Rosaceae. The record is from RefSeq and is a predicted model, not a curated record. The transcript is spliced from 4 exons.
CCAAAAUCUAAAGCCUCCUCCGAAUUCUCUCAUGUCUCCCUCUCUCUCUCUCAUCUCCUCCACCCACUGCCCCCUCCCCCACCCUCUCUCUGCUCCUCCGCCCACUGCUCUCCCUCUCUCUCAUAUCCCAGCUCCUUGACUUUCGGCAACAACCCGUGAAGGACCCUGUGCUUUUUCUCAAACCGACGUCGUCUUACUUGGAAAACGGAGGCAGUACUCCUGGGCUCGAUAUCGAAGUACUCCCUGAAUCAGGUAUAAUUUUCGUUAUUAUCUUUGGGUUUUAUACUUUUGGUUCUCUUCAGUUGAUUUGAUGAUUGAAUUGGGUUGUAGAAGUUUAUAAAUCCAAACAUGAUAAAUGGUUAGUUCAACUCUUAAUGGCGCUUGAUUAUUUGCAUGCCAACCAUAUUCUUCAUCGUCAUGUCAAGUGUUCAAACAUAUUUUUGACAAAGGAUCAAGACAUACGUCUAGGUGAUUUUGGUCUUGCUAAAAUGUUGACUUCAGAUGAUCUAGCUUCCUCUGU